UUGAUCUCUCAGGCUCAAGUGAUCCUCCUGCCUCAGCCUCCCGAGUAGCUAGUAUUACAAGUGGCACAUCAGCAUACCUGGCUAACUUUUUAAAUUUUUUUAUAAAGAUGGGGUCCCACCAUAUUGCCCAGGCUGGUCUCAAACCAACUUUUAAAAAUAGCCUUUAUUUUUUAGAGUGGUUUUAGGUUCACAGCAAAAUUAAGCAGAAAGUACAGAGUGAUCCCAGAUACUCCCUGCCCACACACGUGCAUAGGGUCCUCCACUGUCAACAGCUCCAACCAGAGUGGUGCAUUUCUUUCCAUCAAUGAACCUGCACUGACUUAUCAUUAUCACCUGGAUUCCACAGUUUACACUAGGAUUCCCUCACUUACAGACAUGCAGUUAAGUUUUUUCCAUGUCUUUUUGUGGUUUCAUGGCUCAUAUUUUUUUUUUUUUGUAGCACUGAAUACUGAAUAGUAUUCCAUUGUCUGGAUAUACCCCAGUUUAUUUAUUCAGCAUCUACUGAGGGUCAUCCUUGUAGCGUCUAAGUUUUAGCAAUUGUGAAUAAAGCUGCUAUAAAAUUGGUGUGCAGGUUUCUGUGUGGAUGUACAUUUUCAGUUCCUUUGGGUAAAUACCAAGGAGCAUAAUUGCUGAGUCGCCUGGUAACAAUAUGUUUAAUUUUGUGAAAAACCACCAAACUGUCUUCCAAAGUAUUUGUUCUGUUUUGCAUUCCCACUGGCAAUGAAUGAAACUUUAUUUUAUUUUAUUUUUUGAGACAGGAUUUUGCUUUGUCAUCCAGACUGGGGUGCAGUGGCCCAAACAUGGCUCACUGCGGCCUCAAUCUCCUGGGCCCAAGUGAUCCUCCUGCCUCUGUCCCCCAAGUAGCUGGGACUACAGGCACACACCACCAUGCUCUGCUAUUUUUUGUAUUUUUUGUAGAGAUGGGUUUUUGCCAUGUUGCCCAGGCUGCUCUCAAACUCCUGAGCUCAACGAUCUGGCAGCCUUGGCCUCCCAAAAUGCUGGGAUUACAGGUGUGAGCCACUGCACCCGGCCGAGACUUUUAUUUUAAAUCACAGAUGAAAGUGACUUGCUUAAGAUUACACAACUAUUAGUUGGUAGAGCAGCACUUCUGGUUCCAUACUCUGGGUAGUUUCUGUUUGACCACACUGUCCCCUCAGCUAGACAAGCCAAUCCCAUGCCCUUACAAACACUCCCACAUUUCCUGACCCUUGCUUUUGAGGCCUCAUUCUUGGUGCAGAAGCUUCCUGAGGCAUCCUUCUUCUGCUCCAUGAAGGAAAGACUGUCAUCCAUCCAGGUCCUGUGUCUGAGAAGCUUGCGAUGCUCUUGCAGUGCCCUGGCAUGCGCAGGGGCCAAUGUCCAGUUGUCCAAGCUUACCUGUGCCAAGAGAGGACCCGGGUGGCUCUGCAAGGCCCUCUUUCUAGUCAGAAGAGACCCGGCCAGCCCCAGAAUCUGAGGAGUCACUGGAACGUCAUCAGGGACUAGGAGAGGAAAAGGCCCCCAUGGCGCUCCCCUCUCUCCAGAUCCAAGCUCUUUCUUUGUCUCUUUUUGAUGCGAAAUUCACAUAACAUAAAAAUUAACCAUUUUAGGCCAGGCAUGGUGGCUCAUGCCUGUAAUCCCAGCACUUUGGGAGACCAAGGUGGGUGAAUGACAUGAGGCCAGGAGUUCGAGACCAGCCUGGCCAACAUGGAGAAAGCCCAUCUCCACAAAAUAAAUAAAAAACAACGAAAUUGACCAUUUUAAAGUGAACAAUUCAGUGGCAUUUAGCACAUUCACGACGCUGUGCAGCUACCACUUUUAUCUAGUUCCAACACUCUCAUCACUCCAAAGAGAAACCCCAUCCCUGUUAAGCAGCCAGUGUCGCUUUUCGCCCUCUUCCUAGCCCCGGACAGCCACCAAUCUGUGUUCUGUCUCUUUGGGUUUACCCAGUCUGGUAAUGGAAUAAAUGGAAUCAUACAACAUGUGGCCUUUUGUGUCUGGGUCCAAGUUAUUUUCCAUUACUCCCUGAGGAAGGAGGAGGAGAAGGGACCUCUUCUGCCUUUGUCUCCCUCCCCGUCCCUUGUCCACCUUGCCCUGUGCGCCCACCAGCAGCACCUGUGGCUCAGCUCCUCCAUUCUAUGCUAUUUCCUAUUUCUCUUUUUUAUUUUUUGAAAAAGGGACUCACUCUGUUGCCCAGGCUGGAGUGCAGUGACGUGACCGUAGCUCACUGCAGCCUCAACCUCCCAGGCUCAAGUGACACUCCCACCUCAGCCUCCUGAGUAGCUGGGACUACAGCAUGCACCACUACGGCCAACUAAUUUUUAAAACUUGUUUUUUGUAGAGACUGAGUUUCGCCAUGUUGCCCAGGCUGGUCUCGAAUUCUUGGCCUCAAGUGAUCCUCCUGCCUCUGCCUCCCAAUGUGCUGGGAUCACAGGCAUGAGCCACCAUACUCAGCCUCCUAUUCCUUUUUUUUUUUUUCAAUUUUGUACAUUUUUAAUUCUAAAUUUUCUCAUUACACAAAUAAAAAGUGAAGUAAUAGCUGUUGAAAUGUUGGCUCUAUUAGCAUAAAAAGAAUUUGCAAACGGUUAAAUAUUUCCAAUUUCAUAUCAAUGUCAUCAGUUGCUUUGAAGGAAAAAAACAGUUAAUUCCAAUAGUGUUUGAUUUUUAUUUUUCAUCUAAUUCAUAACAUCCUAUUCCUUUUAAUUACCCUUAGCAGAGUACUUUGAGGAGUCAUAGAUGCAUUCAACAAAUAGCCCAUAGGCUAGCAGCGGGGAGAGACAGGUUAAGUGUCAUUAAAACUGUGAUAAGGCAACACUAGCAGUUUUACAGAGAGCCAGGGGACCCAGAGGAGAGACAACUAAUUCAGCCUGGAGGUGAGGCUGGUGAGGGAAGACAACACGGAGGAGACAGAUGCGGGGCGGGGGAGGGCAGGCCGGGUCUGUCUUGUUCACUGUUCCUCAGCACUCAGGGUAGUUCCUGGCAACUAGAACGGGGAUGAGUGAACAAGUUAAUGAAUCAAGCAGGCAAUCUAUCAGCCAAGAGCUGAAGAAUUAAUAGGAGUUGUCUCUACCAGAAAAAAUGGGUAGAGCAUAUCUGGAGACUUGUAGGCAAGAGGGUCAGCCCUUUUAUUACACUGAGUGGUAUUUCGGUCUAGAUGAAGGUUGAAGAAGAUGGGGGGUAAGGACAGAAGAAGUUGGGGCCAGAUCAUGCAGGGCCUUGGAAGCGACAUAAAGGAGUUUGACUGAGUAAAAAGAGCGACCUGAGUAAAAAGAGGGACCACUGAAGGGUUUUGCGCAGAUGUACGUUUUAGAAACACAUCUGUCUAAUCCAGGCUAGGGAUAAUGAUGACCUAACGAGGCUCCCAGCAGACAGAACGUCAUUCUUGCACUCCUGCUAUUGGUGUUCUACUGGAAAACAGAGGUGUUUAAUCAAAAAUAACCAUAAAAAAAUUAAUGAAUUAAUCAUAAGGAUGCAAGGUGCUCUGAGGGAUGCUAUGAGUCAAGAAAAUCCUUCUCAAGACCAGGAGGGACUUUGAAAUCAAAACUUGGGAGAUGAACAGGAGUUGGCCAACACUGAAGCUUUUGGGAACGUCCUGAGCAACCUGUGGUGAAGGAAGUGAGAGAAGUCCAGGGUAGUUGCGGUGAAGAGUGUGAGGCUGGGAGACUGAUCGGAUGAGGCUGGGGCGAUAAGUAGGGCUCAGACCAGAACGACCCUAUUACACAUUUUGGACUUACCCUAAGCAAAAUAGGAAGUCCUUGAUGAUGUAAACAGGACCCUAUUUUGAAAAAUAGGAUUAAUUGCAUUUCUCUUUUGCAUUUCUGUGCAUGUGACCUUCUUCCUGCUCAGCUCAAACAUCUGCUUCCUUGGGGAAAGGGACUAGGAUUAUCAAAGAAAAAAAUGGAGAGGAAGAUAAUGAAUAGCUUCUGACCUCCAAAAUAAGAUUUUUCAGCCAGACAAUAGUCUCAAAAGACAUUAUUUUUAAAAGAAAAAAGAUGUUCUGUUGUCUUUAGCUCCCUCUUUAAGAUAUCAAGAAGCCCUGACAGAAUUAAUCAUGGGGCUUUACCUAAAGAAAAGAAUAGAAGAGAAACCCCUGACCUUUAGUCCAAAGGAUGGCAAGGAGGAGUAGCUUAAUGGGUUUGGGGUUUUCUUUCUGGGUGAUGAAAAUAUUUUGCAACUAGACAGAGGUGGUAGUUGUAUUAUACAACAUCGUGAAGGUAAUAAAUGCCACUGAAUUGUUCACUCUAAAAUGGUUCAUUUUCUUCUAUAUGAAUUCCACCACAAAACAAAGAUAUGUCACCUAUAUAAUACUGAAUAGUUUCCAAAGGUCCUGAGGGACAAGGCAGCGUUAUGCUCUGAAAUAGCAGCAGAUCUGAAGGCCCCACAGCAGCCUGUACUUUGCCUUUGGAGAAAGAAGGGGGGUCCCCCGUGUCUAACCAGGGCCCUGUCCUCACAGUGCCCUCAGAGACAUUCAGCCGAAUGCCACUGCAGUCCAGGCCACUGCGGAGUGUUUGUGUUUUGGUUUGUUUUCCCCUUGGGCUUACAGAAGGACUUGUGAAGGUGUUUAGUUUGGUUAAGGACUUCCCACUUCCAGAGGUGGAGCCUGAAGAAGGUUCUAUUUUUUUUCUUCAAGUGAGUGGAACUUUCCAGGGACAACAACUCACAGGCUAUGGAUAGACUACGGAUGCACUUCACUGUGGCCUCUACUCAUGAGGGGCCUAAUGGACGAGGAGGAGGAGGAUCUGCCCAAUGGGCAGUCAUGGGGUAUAGUCCCCUCUCCACUCCAGGAAGGUUUGGCAAAGGCAGAAGCUGACUGCAAAGACUGGAUGGGUUGGGUGCAAUGGCUCACGCCUAUAAUCCCAGCAUUUUGGGAGGCCGAGACGAGUGGAUCACCUGAGGUCAGGAGUUCGAGACCAGCCUGGACAACAUGACGAAACUCCGUCUCUACUAAAAAUACAAAAAAUUAGCUGGGCGUGGUGGUGGGCGCCUGUAAUCCCAGCUACUUGGGAGGCUGAGGCAGGAGAAUAGCUUGAACCCGGGAGGCAGAGGUUGCAAUAAGCCAAGAUCACACCACGGCACGCUAGCCUAGGCAACAAGAGCAAAACUCUGUCUCAAAAAAAAAAACCCGAAAAAACAAAAAAAACAAAGAAGACUGGAUGGACUUGUCCUAACAGCUCACAGUGUCUCAGGAAACAGUCCUUUAGUUGUCUCAUCAGGUGUAAGAACAGCAUCCUAGACCAGGUACACAGUUGGCCCUGAAGGCCAUCAGACCUGUGUGAGGGCCUGGCAGGGCCCUGUGGCCAGCAGGGGCUGAGCUACCCAUGUACAAGUAUCCCAUUCACCCUUUAAACACACAGGCCAAAAGGAAAAUCGCACUCUUCAUUUCAAACAUGGCACUGGAGCCCAGAGCCCAGUGGCUUCACCUUAAUCAAGUUGCCUCCAUCAACACUGUCACAAAGGUCUAUGAUUUCAACUACUUAAGUUUCCCUCUGACUUGAGCCCGUCACCUCUUUUCAUAUGCCCUCACACAUACAUGGUCUCGUUGCUCAACAUGUUGGAAAAUAUCAGCUCCAGGAGAAAUUCCUUUUCCCUUACAUAGUGGCAGGCCUAAUGAACACAGAAAGCCUGGAGACUGGGUUGUGUUCACUUGGGGAACUCUAGGUCCAGCAAAAGGGGAUGGUCCCAGGGAUCCCUCACCAAGACAGCUUUCCUGGGGAAGCAGAUUGUGCUUAAUCCUCAAAACUGCAAAUUUGUUGGAAAUGUCAUCAAGAGUUAACCAUUACCCCAGGUCACUGAACUGGUUUGGGCCGAGGCAGCCUAGAAUGACAGGUGACUGCAACAUUCCCCCAACAGACCGUCUUAGGUUGAGAACCCAGUAGAGGUCGCCCCUUACUUUUUUUCUCCAUAAGAAACUGAAAAACUGUCUGGAUGCUUUGAAAGCAUUUACAGCUGCUCAGAGAAGCUUCUGACUCCAUCUAAUAAGCCCCUGGCAGCCAUCAACCUCUCUAAUUGCCCUAUAGGUGAAGAGGUGGGAAUUUAAAUAAACAGUGGAUUUUGAAGAUGAACAAUGUUAUGGAAGGGCCUAGGCAUGACAGCCAAGCAUCAAAGCAUGAGCACAUGUGUCUCUCUUGACAACAUAAUCCCCAAAGCUCAGAGAAGCUGGAUGUGGACCUCCCGAGCAUCUGCCUCCUUGGCAUUUAUACCACAAGGAAACAUACCAGUUACUCAAGAAAGUACAGGUAGCACUGAAACCCUCCAGAUUCCUUCUGGUUCCUUGUCUACUCAGGCAGAAGAGGUCAUUACAAGGCCCAAUGCUACGACUCUGAGUGGCCCUGUUCCCUAAUGCCCCUGGCUCACAUAAAAGGAAAACGAGGCCAUGUGCGGUGGCUCACGCCUGUAAACCCAGCACUUUGGGAGGCUGAGUCGGGUGGAUCACUUCAGGUCAGGAGUUCGAGACCAGCCUGGCCAACAUGGGGAAACCCCGUCUCUACUAAAAUUACAAAAGUUACCCAGGUGUAGUGGUGCACAUCUGUAAUCCCAGCUACUUGGGAGGCUGAGGCAGGAGAAUCAGUUGAACCCAAGUGGCAGAGGUUGCAGUGAGCCAAGAUCAUGCCACAGCACUCCAGCCUGGGCAACAGAGUGAAACUCCAUCUCAAAAAAAAAAAAAAAAAAAAAAGGAAAAGGAAGGCAUAUUGUUAUUCUUCUUAAGUAGGUACUCUUCUAUAUUAUAUAUUAUAUAUAAAAUAAAAAAGGAAAAGGAAGGCAUAUUGUUAUCCCUCCUGUUUACUUAUAUAUUUUACAUAUAUAAUAUAAUAUUAUCAUGACCCUGCUCCUUUACUGAUGAGGAAACUAAGGGUCAGAGAGGUUAAAUGGCUCUCUCCAAACCUCAAUAGCCAGUGAGUAUUGGGGGCAGGCCUAGGAUUUAGGGUCCCUGUGACUCCCAGCUCAGUGCUCUUGGUGUCUCCAGAGAAUGAGGCCUAUACACUGAGCUUGUCUAAAGCAUGUGGGAGGCCAGGCAUGGUGGCUGAUGCCUGUGAUCCCAGCACUUUGAGAGACUGAGGCAGGAGGACUGCUUGAGUCCAGGAGUUCAAGAAGCGCCUGGGCAACAUGGUGAAACCCUAUCUCGACAAAAAAUACAAAAAUUAGCCAGGCAUGGUGGCAGAUGCCUGUAGUCCCAGUUACUUGGAAGGCUGAGGUGGGAGGAUCACCUGAGCCGGAGAGGUCAAGGCUGCAGUGAGCCAUGGCUGUGCCACUGCAUGCCACCCUGGGUGAUAGAAUGAAAUCUUAUCUCAAAAUAAAAUAAAAUAAUAAAGCAUAUUGGAGCAAGUGGUAUAAUUUCUAGGGCUAAGUCUCAGCCAGCUGCCAGCCACCAUGGGCCUUAACUCAUGACAGGGUUUCGUCCCUAUCAUUCGCACUACAAGGAAAGAGUACCCCAGAGCAGAUGUUCCCCAAUCACCCUGGGAUUCCUGGUCUACAGGAUAAUGGGGGCCUGAGAUGACACUUUUAAGUGCUCAACACCUAACAGCCUGUGACUUUUCAAAAACAGAAGUCUAGAGAUGUGAUCACCCAACAUAUUUGCACGGUUUUCUGAGCCCUUUCCUGCUCGUGAUCUCAUCCAACCACCCUGACAACCUUAGCCAUACAUUUAAUUGGUUCUUUGAAGAUUUCUGGGUUUCCAGAGUCAACCUGUUCAAACAAAAUACCCCAAGGAAGGGAUAGCACCUUAUACUUUUAUUGGCUCACAGCUUGGCAAGAGUUGGCAGCUGGCUGAGAAUUAGGCCCUGAGAAGGAAACAGGAUCAGGAGGGAUUGGGAAGGGGUCAAAAGGGAAAAGAAGAAUGAGACGGGGCGGUAGACAUGCCCCGAUGCCCUCCCAGAAGCCCACCUCACAGCUUUGCAGAAAGAGGUUCUAAGCAAGCAGAAGGAAGUUCCCAGCUCCCCCAGCCCCCCUGCCACCCCACCAGCAGAAAAACCAACUUUACCCAUGAGGGCCAAAGGUAGAGAGGAAUAGAAGAAAAAGAGAAGAAAAAGGAGAGAUGGGAAGACAGAAUAAACCAACCAUCAGAGGCUCUUCAAUCUUAAUUCAUUUUAUUCUACAAAAUGCUACUCAACUGAAAGUGGAA
This 8095-nucleotide long non-coding RNA is filed under the name Homo sapiens (human). RNAcentral describes it as "HSALNT0029291". Lineage: Eukaryota; Metazoa; Chordata; Mammalia; Primates; Hominidae. The record is from RNAcentral.